AACGAACGCUGGCGGCAUGCCUAACACAUGCAAGUCGAACGAGACCUUCGGGUCUAGUGGCGCACGGGUGCGUAACGCGUGGGAACCUGCCCUUAGGUUCGGAAUAACUCCCCGAAAGGGGUGCUAAUACCGGAUAAUGUCUUCGGACCAAAGAUUUAUCGCCUUUGGAUGGGCCCGCGUUGGAUUAGCUAGUUGGUAGGGUAAAAGCCUACCAAGGCGACGAUCCAUAGCUGGUCUGAGAGGAUGAUCAGCCACACUGGGACUGAGACACGGCCCAGACUCCUACGGGAGGCAGCAGUGGGGAAUAUUGGACAAGUGGCGAAAGCCUGAUCCAGCAAUGCCGCGUGAGUGAUGAAGGCCUUAGGGUUGUAAAGCUCUUUUACCCGGGAUGAUAAUGACAGUACCGGGAGAAUAAGCUCCGGCUAACUCCGUG
RNAcentral lists this ribosomal RNA (433 nucleotides) under uncultured bacterium. RNAcentral's name for it is "partial 16S ribosomal RNA". It matches the Rfam family "Bacterial small subunit ribosomal RNA", at positions 29 to 507 of the family's 1533-position model. The record is from RNAcentral.